GUGCCGCCUUCAGACCCCUAAACACCCUCACCCUGCUCCUCGUGAAACCCCUCCCCUUCCGCAUUCUCUUCCUCUGCUUUGCAGCGUCUCAGCCAGCCACCUCCGACCACCACCGUCACGGCCUUGUCACUGUCCGUUUUAGCCGGUCCACUCAUUGCAUCAUCACCGCACUGUGCCGUUCAUCCUCUUCCGUGCCGUUCGCCGUUCUUCUCUUCACCGGCAUAUUUGAUUUCUUCGGCCAUUUUUUCUUUAUCCCUGGCGAGCUUAGCUUAGCUUAUAUAUAAGGAGUUGGAUGAAAGCAAGAUUGAAGCAAUCUCGUUAGAAAAAGUUUGAAUAGAGAAUAUGGAAGAGAACAUGAAGAUGUUUGUUGAAAGUUGUAUAUUGACAAUGAAAGAAUAUUUGAUGUUAAAGAUUUUAUUUUAUUAACUUUUUUUAGAAUGAAAGUUGUACUUUAAGAUUUUAUUUUAUAGCUUAUAAUUUUCUAUGUUGUAUUUUUGAACUUAUAAUCUUGGAUAAGAUAUGUGGUUGUAUGUUUGUAAUAA
Molecule: long non-coding RNA, 542 nt
Organism: Arachis duranensis
Lineage: Eukaryota; Viridiplantae; Streptophyta; Magnoliopsida; Fabales; Fabaceae
Exons: 3
Source: RefSeq, a predicted model, not a curated record